RNAcentral lists this ribosomal RNA (474 nucleotides) under uncultured bacterium. Its description in RNAcentral is "bacterial SSU rRNA". It matches the Rfam family "Bacterial small subunit ribosomal RNA", at positions 228 to 694 of the family's 1533-position model. The record is from RNAcentral.
AGCCUAAGUCGGAUUAGCUAGUUGGUGGGGUAAAGGCCUACCAAGGCGACGAUCUGUAGCUGGUCUGAGAGGAUGAUCAGCCACACUGGGACUGAGACACGGCCCAGACUCCUACGGGAGGCAGCAGUGGGGAAUAUUGGACAAUGGGCGAAAGCCUGAUCCAGCCAUGCCGCGUGUGUGAAGAAGGCCUUUUGGUUGUAAAGCACUUUAAGUAGGGAGGAAAAGCUAAUGGUUAAUACCCAUUAGCCCUGACGUUACCUACAGAAUAAGCACCGGCUAACUCUGUGCCAGCAGCCGCGGUAAUACAGAGGGUGCAAGCGUUAAUCGGAAUUACUGGGCGUAAAGCGCGCGUAGGUGGUUACUUAAGUCAGAUGUGAAAGCCCCGGGCUUAACCUGGGAACUGCAUCUGAUACUGGGUGACUAGAGUAGGUGAGAGGGGAGUAGAAUUCCAGGUGUAGCGGUGAAAUGCGUAGA